This 2261-nucleotide long non-coding RNA is filed under the name Bemisia tabaci. RNAcentral's name for it is "lncRNA ENSSWEETPG003810". The record is from RNAcentral. Lineage: Eukaryota; Metazoa; Arthropoda; Insecta; Hemiptera; Aleyrodidae.
GAAACUAUCUUGAGAUUUGUGUAAUCACAAACUUGUGCAUAUGUAAAUGCAAAAAUCAAUUUCACGGAAAAUCAAUGUCAGUUCUCACAAGUUUUGGAUUGGGUACCAUCUGGGUAACUUACCUGCCAAAGAAAAGACGAUGACUCUUUGGAUCUUUGCUGCUUGGCAUCACCUGGGCCAGCGAGGAGGACUGAGUUUAACAAGAGAUCAUCAUCUUCGUCAGUCAAGCUGACAGGAGAGAUCUUGGAAAGAAAGCCAAAGAAACAGAACAGUGAAAUGGGUCUACCUAAAGGUGUCCAGAAGUGGUACUUCUUUUUUCGCUUUACUAAAACGAUUUAUGAUUGUUCCAUCUUCCUCGAUGACAGAUGAAUUUUCCAAGGCUUUCAGACUUUUCUCAGCUGAUGUUUGAACAACCUGAGAAAAAGAAGCAUAGAAAUAUUAUAAAAUUGAAGUUACUGCACAAUUAAAUUUUCAUUUAUCAACCUCGAGAACAUUUUCAUUUAUCAACCUGUUUUUUGAAAAUACAGAGUGAAUUGAGCUUCCAGAAAUUUUUUUAACCAAAAGAAAACCCAUUUGAAAAUGCCAAAAAUAUAUACUAUGUGAAGUGAUAAUUUUGGCCAGCUCUGAUAAUGUAGCCAGGUGGGAGAAACUGUGUUUGCUGAUUGACUGAACCCAGCUUCAGGUAUCGCCUGCUGCGUCAAUUCAACUGUCGAGUUUUGAUUAGCUUUUUCUCCCUUUAGAAAUGAUUUUUUAAACUUUUUGUUUCAUAUACGCGCGUUAGGGUAACUAAACUAGGACCCUGCCAGUGUUCAAACUCACUUUUGAGUUUAAGGAGCCAUGUGGCGCAUCAAGCCCGAUUUUUAGGUGCCAAAUUGACUUUUCGCCUAUACAUUACGGCGCAUUUAGUGAAAAGUUAGACGCAAGAUGUUUUCGUACAACUAGUAGUAGCUGUAACCGGGGGAACAAAGCAUUAAGAAUGAAAUUGUGAAGAAUAGAAAAAGCUUUCACUUGUAGUGCUGAAAUUCUGAGUUUUUUUCAUUCAAAUAAAUUUGUUUUUCUUUUGUUAUAAGACUUCCUAUGAAAUCCAGAUUUUAGGGGCCACGUUGGCGCAGAGCCUCAUUUUUUUAGGCGCCAUGAUCGAUUUUUUAGGCACAUUUGGCUCGUUGGCGCCUGUGGGUUUUGAACACUGGACCCUGCAAACAUUCCUUAUCAUUGCUCCUUUUAAAGUAUGAAAGAAGCAGUUUACACAUAAAUGGCCUGGAAUGUAGAAAUUUACGACCAUGGAUCCAAGAUAGAAUAUUUGCCUAAAUGAUGAGCGGUAAAUUAGUGAGUGGAUACUGAGAUAAGAGUCAAUUGAAACACACCAGACUUUUGGGAUCAAGAAUAAUUUUCCCAUCAGCACUCAGCUUCAAUUGUGGAACGGGCAUUUCAGAGUCAGCUUCAUCUACUCUACAUCAUCGACCUUCUUCUUCAAGGCGACUAGCAACAGGACUGGAAAGCAUACGUAACAAUGUUAUUAACAACAUUCAUAAAUUUUACAAAAAUUGAAGGGGGGUGUUUUUGCUACAGCAAACAUUUUAAUCAGGCGGGAUGGGUACUGGUAUCGUAUCCCUUCCUUAGAAAAAUGACAACAUUCAUCAAUCUUUUGGGAUAAAGCAGAUAAAGAGCUUCUGAAACAAGCCAAGUUGAGCCCUGUAGCUUACUUAGGACCCAAGUUUUACCAUCUUCAAGCCCCCGUAACUGCGGUUCUAUUGGUCAGAAAAAUUGAAAGGUUACGAUUCUAACCAUUAUAUGGUUCACAAUGCCUACCAAGUACCAUCAAAUCUAGGGUGGUCAUGAAAAUUUAUUGGUUGAAUUGAGGAACUUGAACGACAAAGGCGCAUAAGAGUAGUUUUUGAAAAAUUGAGAUAUUCAUAAUUUCAACUAAUACUAGGUCUUAAACUAUGAUGACAAGCAAAAAAUUCUUGACUGAAAUCUUAUUUAAGCAUCAAAUAAGAGUUUGAACUUUUUUUCAGCCAUAAGGCUCCAUGUAAUGUUGAACUUAAACAUUUAUUUCUCGAAAUUUGCAAAAACUGUCCGUAUCCCACUUGUCCUCCAUCCUCCAAGCCCGUCAAUUGCCACGAAAUGACCCUCAUACUUUGAAACCUCAAUGCUGAGUACUUGAGCAAAACUAAUUGCAUUGAAAAACUGAUAAUUUUUUAACUGAUAUAAUUGGUGGCUAAUACUCUCUAUUCCUAUCACACCUGCAAAUUUCCUAAAAA